Molecule: long non-coding RNA, 779 nt
Organism: Thunnus maccoyii (southern bluefin tuna)
Lineage: Eukaryota; Metazoa; Chordata; Actinopteri; Scombriformes; Scombridae
Exons: 5
Source: RefSeq, a predicted model, not a curated record
GUUCUGGGAGGAUGGUGAAAAAAUUAGUUAACAGCCCUGAUAUAGAGAAAGCAGCUCAAUAUAUAUUAACUUGGCUUUUCUGCAUAGAUUCGAAAUGCUGUGCCACCUACUUCCCCACAUAGGUAGUAUGUAGUAAGCCCUGAUGUCCCACAAACUGCCACACUUCCACCCCCCAUGGAGGAACAAGCAGCACCAGUGGAUCAGAUGAUACCAUUGGUACUACAUGUAGUUCCAGUAUAGGAUAUCCACCAGAUUCUCACAGCCUCACCGGAGGGCAGGACCUACCUUUGAGACAAAAAUGCCUUGGCUUCAUCUUUAGUUCAGGCAUUUCCCUGCUUGAAAGACACAUCAGGCAGUGGUAGUAAUCUACCAUAUCUGAAGAGGGAGUCAAACAGCUAAAAGAAUGGUUGAGACACAAUUCUCAGCCCCUCAGCCAGGUGGAGGCAUAGAUGCAGCCCUGUACAGGGCACAGUUGAUAAGGGGAAAUAAUUAUAUGUGGGAUCCUCCAAGAGUUCCCAUAUCUAACAUCUCCAGGCAUGGUUGAUUACCUGGAAUACCUCCAAUAGACUUAGGUGUUGAGGCCAUACUCCUACAUCCUGACACUGGAUGAUGACUACCAGUGCUCCUCUCAGGCAUUUGUCAUUCUGGGGGGGCAGGCUUUGGAGCAAAGCACACUGCUUGGGGCAGUUGAUGUGUGCUUCAAGGCAUUUUAUAUCUUUGACAUUAACUACCCCAAAGCAGUGUGCUCCUGCAUGGGACCCAAAAAGUGGUCUAUGAAA